Odocoileus virginianus texanus is the source of this 345-nucleotide non-coding RNA. NCBI's taxonomy places the organism in Eukaryota, Metazoa, Chordata, Mammalia, Artiodactyla, Cervidae. The record is from RefSeq and is a predicted model, not a curated record.
UAGCACUUGGCUUUGGAGCCGAGACGCCGGGCUGCCUCCAGAUCUCCAGCCACCUUCUGGUCUCGGGCCUGUGGACCAGCAGCAGGGCCAGGAUCCCCGAGGGUAGGGAGUCCUCACUGAUGCUGGGAGGCUGCCACCACAGGAGCUGAAGCUAGGCAGCUGUGCUAACAGGAGCCCCCGUGUGUGAAAAGCCCCAUUUGAAAGAAAAGAGCUCCUUGGAGAGCCCAGCUGCAUCUGUGUGCUGGCGAAGCACAUGUAUGUCAAGAGCCAGAUUGGAUAUGAAAGUUGGACUAUAAAGAAAGCUGAGUACCAGUGAAUUGAUGCUUUUGAACUGUGAUGUUGGAG